This 421-nucleotide ribosomal RNA is filed under the name uncultured bacterium. RNAcentral describes it as "bacterial SSU rRNA". It matches the Rfam family "Bacterial small subunit ribosomal RNA", at positions 355 to 774 of the family's 1533-position model. The record is from RNAcentral.
UAAGGAAUAUUGGUCAAUGGACGCAAGUCUGAACCAGCCAUGCCGCGUGAAGGAUGAAGGUCCUCUGGAUUGUAAACUUCUUUUAUCUGGGACGAAAACGGGAUUUUUAUCUCAAUUGACGGUACCAGAGGAAUAAGCACCGGCUAACUCCGUGCCAGCAGCCGCGGUAAUACGGAGGGUGCGAGCGCUAUCCGGAUUUACUGGGUUUAAAGGGUGCGUAGGUGGGCUUAUAAGUCAGUGGUGAAAUCUCCGAGCUUAACUUGGAAACUGCCGUUGAUACUAUAGGUCUUGAAUUAUCUGGAGGUAAGCGGAAUAUGUCAUGUAGCGGUGAAAUGCUUAGAUAUGACAUAGAACACCAAUUGCGAAGGCAGCUUACUACAUAUAAAUUGACGCUGAGGCACGAAAGCGUGGGGAUCAAACA